RNAcentral lists this ribosomal RNA (556 nucleotides) under Candidatus Altarchaeales archaeon. Its description in RNAcentral is "bacterial SSU rRNA". It matches the Rfam family "Bacterial small subunit ribosomal RNA", at positions 969 to 1533 of the family's 1533-position model. The record is from RNAcentral. Lineage: Archaea; Nanobdellati; Candidatus Altarchaeota; Candidatus Altarchaeia; Candidatus Altarchaeales.
CCUUACCUGGGUUUGACAUGUAGGUGGUACCGAACCGAAAGGGGAGGGACCCUUCGGGGAGCCUACACAGGUGCUGCAUGGCUGUCGUCAGCUCGUGCCGUGAGGUGUCGGGUUAAGUCCCGUAACGAGCGCAACCCUUGCUCUUAGUUAUACGUGUCUAAGGGGACUGCCGGCGACAAGCCGGAGGAAGGUGGGGAUGACGUCAAGUCAGCAUGGCCUUGAUAUCCAGGGCUACACACACGCUACAAUGGCCGGUACAAAGGGCAGCCAAGCCGCGAGGUGGAGCGAAUCCCAGCAAAGCCGGUCCCAGUUCGGAUUGCAGGCUGCAACCCGCCUGCAUGAAGUUGGAGUUGCUAGUAACCGCGCGUCAGCCAUAGUGCGGUGAAUACGUACCCGGGUCUUGUACACACCGCCCGUCACGUCAUGGGAGUUGGCAACGCCUGACAGCGGUAGCCUAACCGAAAGGAAGGCGCCGACUAAGGCGGGGCUAGCAACUGGGACGAAGUCGUAACAAGGUAGCGGUACCGGAAGGUGCGGCUGGAUCACCUCCUUUCUA